GCUGAUAUGGCCGAGUGGUUAAGGCGGUGGACUUAAGUUUCUUAAGCAACCCACUAUCGAAAGAUUCAGGAGUUCGAACCUCCUUGUCAGCA
Molecule: non-coding RNA, 92 nt
Organism: Wilcoxina mikolae CBS 423.85
Lineage: Eukaryota; Fungi; Ascomycota; Pezizomycetes; Pezizales; Pyronemataceae
Source: the annotation of a GenBank genome assembly